UCGUGGAGCUUCGGCUCCUUCGAGGGAGAAACCCUUGCCUUUUCGAGCACCUGUUUGUUUCCUCGGCAGGCCCGCCUGCCAAUGGGGACCUUUUUUAAACUCUUGCAAUCAACCUGAACAAUUGUCUGAACAAAAAAAUUUAAAUCA
RNAcentral lists this unclassified non-coding RNA (147 nucleotides) under soil metagenome. RNAcentral describes it as "partial internal transcribed spacer 1". The record is from RNAcentral.